Molecule: unclassified non-coding RNA, 433 nt
Filed under: Hevea brasiliensis (rubber tree)
Lineage: Eukaryota; Viridiplantae; Streptophyta; Magnoliopsida; Malpighiales; Euphorbiaceae
Source: RNAcentral
AAUCAAAUCAUUUAUUUCAUUCUCAAAUUAUGUUUCAACUUCAAUUACUCCUAUCAAUUCUCACUUUGUCAUUUGCUGCCCAGUCAUAUUCUUCCACGUCACAAUUCUCUAUUCUCCAAUCCAAUCAUCACUCUAAACCCAACUUCUUUUCCAUCUCUGUCACCGAGUUUGGCGCUGUCGGCAAUGGCGUCAAAUACGACACUAUUCCAAUCCAGAAAGCUAUAGAUGCAUGCUCGACCAUCGUAUCCAAGCAUCAUCGUCCAUGCCACGUUAUCUUCCCCCCAGGAAAGUACCUAACAGCAACAAUAUUCGUGAAAUCAGGCGUUGUAUUGGAUAUUCACCAGAAGGCAACAAUUUUGGGAGGAUCAAAGUUAGAGGAUUACCCAAAGGUGCAAAGCAGGUGGUAUGUGAUACUGGCAGAGGAUGCAGUGGA